GAGAGGUGGAGGGCGGCUGCCGGUUCCUCCGAGCGUCCGCAGGGGCGUGAAGAGGAGCUGAGGAAAGUCCCCCCACCGCAAAAGCACGGGUGCCGAAAGGCACAGGGCGAGAGCCCUGGCAACGGCGCAGAAACGAUACCGAGCCUUGCGUGUGCGAUGAUUCCGAAAGGAUGAGGUCGCAAGGUCUCGGAUGGAACGACCGUCCCCGUGGGUGCAAGCCUUUUGGCGCCGAGAUGAAUGCCGCCUGAAACAGAAGGGGGCUUACUACCAUCACUC
RNAcentral lists this RNase P RNA (276 nucleotides) under Candidatus Methanospirare jalkutatii. RNAcentral describes it as "RNase P RNA component". It matches the Rfam family "Archaeal RNase P". From Rfam's summary of the family: Ribonuclease P (RNase P) is a ubiquitous endoribonuclease, found in archaea, bacteria and eukarya as well as chloroplasts and mitochondria. Its best characterised activity is the generation of mature 5'-ends of tRNAs by cleaving the 5'-leader elements of precursor-tRNAs. Lineage: Archaea; Methanobacteriati; Methanobacteriota; Methanomicrobia; Candidatus Methanophagales; Candidatus Methanospirareceae. The record is from RNAcentral.